Molecule: ribosomal RNA, 404 nt
Filed under: uncultured bacterium
Lineage: Bacteria
Description: bacterial SSU rRNA
Rfam family: Bacterial small subunit ribosomal RNA
Source: RNAcentral
AACACAUGCAGUCGAGCGGAAAGCCCCUUCGGGGGUACUUCGAGCGGCGAACGGGUGAGUAACACGUGAGUAAUCUGCCCCUACUCUGGGGAAUAGCUCCGGGAAACCGGGAUAUACCGGAUACGACCACCUUAGACAUACUUGUGGUGGUGAAAGAAUUUCGGCUAGGGAUGAGCUCGCGGCCAAUCAGCUUGUGGGUGGGGUACCGGCUACCAAGGCGACGAGGGUAGCCGGCCUGAGAGGGCGACGGCACACUGGGACUGAGACACGGCCCAGACUUCCUACGGGAGGCAGCAGUGGGGAAUAUUGCGCAAUGGGCGAAAGCCUGACGCAGCGACGGCCGCGUGGGGGAUGAAGGCCUUCGGGUUGUAAACCCCCUUUUCAGCAGGGACCCGAAGCGAACA